UGGGGAAUUUUGGACAAUGGGCGAAAGCCUGAUCCAGCAAUGCCGCGUGUGUGAAGAAGGCCUUCGGGUUGUAAAGCACUUUUGUCCGGAAAGAAAUCCUUGGCUCUAAUACAGUCGGGGGAUGACGGUACCGGAAGAAUAAGCACCGGCUAACUACGUGCCAGCAGCCGCGGUAAUACGUAGGGUGCAAGCGUUAAUCGGAAUUACUGGGCGUAAAGCGUGCGCAGGCGGUUUGCUAAGACCGAUGUGAAAUCCCCGGGCUCAACCUGGGAACUGCAUUGGUGACUGGCAGGCUAGAGUAUGGCAGAGGGGGGUAGAAUUCCACGUGUAGCAGUGAAAUGCGUAGAGAUGUGGAGGAAUACCGAUGGCGAAGGCAGCCCCCUGGGCCAAUACUGACGCUCAUGCACGAAA
RNAcentral lists this ribosomal RNA (411 nucleotides) under uncultured bacterium. RNAcentral's name for it is "partial 16S ribosomal RNA". It matches the Rfam family "Bacterial small subunit ribosomal RNA", at positions 355 to 758 of the family's 1533-position model. The record is from RNAcentral.